RNAcentral lists this ribosomal RNA (247 nucleotides) under uncultured bacterium. Its description in RNAcentral is "partial 16S ribosomal RNA". It matches the Rfam family "Bacterial small subunit ribosomal RNA", at positions 523 to 769 of the family's 1533-position model. The record is from RNAcentral.
AUACGUAGGGGGCGAGCGUUGUCCGGAUUUACUGGGCGUAAAGGGAGCGUAGGCGGAUCUACAAGACAGUGGUUAAAUCUCCGGGCUCAACCUGGAACUUGCCUUUGUGACUGUGGAUCUUGAGUAUGGUAGAGGUUGGCGGAAUUUCCGGUGUAGCGGUGGAAUGCGUAGAUAUUAGGAGGAACACCAGUAGCGAAGGCGGCUUUCUGGACUGUAACUGACACUGAGGCACGAAAGCGUGGGGAGC